UACGGGGGGGGCAAGCGUUGUUCGGAAUUACUGGGCGUAAAGGGCUCGUAGGCGGCCAACUAAGUCAGACGUGAAAUCCCUCGGCUUAACCGGGGAACUGCGUCUGAUACUGGAUGGCUUGAGUUCGGGAGAGGGAUGCGGAAUUCCAGGUGUGGCGGUGAAAUGCGUAGAUAUCUGGAGGAACACCGGUGGCGAAGGCGGCAUCCUGGACCGACACUGACGCUGAGGAGCGAAAGCCAGGGGAGCAAACGGG
Molecule: ribosomal RNA, 253 nt
Filed under: uncultured bacterium
Lineage: Bacteria
Description: partial 16S ribosomal RNA
Rfam family: Bacterial small subunit ribosomal RNA
Source: RNAcentral